AUCUAUAGUUGUCCCGUCUCUGCAUUGAACGUCAGCCCUUUUUCUGUGAUUCUUCCUUCCUUCCUUUCUGUCUAUCUUUCCUGGGUGGCUUCUUCUUCAACUCAAUCUUCUCUCUCAGCUAACGCGGUAACCAGAGAGGGCGAGAUCGCGAAAGGGCUCAAGCCAGGGCUGGCCACAAGGCUAAGCAGCCCAAAGACGAUGGCCUGACCCCCGAACAAAGACGAGAGAGGGACGCGAAAGCACUUCAGGAAAAGUUAGCUAGGAAAGCAGCUGGGAACAACGAUAACUCUGUUGGUAACAAAAUCGGUAUCAAGAAGAAAUAGCAGCAGAUUAGUGUUUAAAUGUAGGUGAUGAAUGUUGUAAUAGAUGAUGGAUCAGAUUUGGGUUCUGGGGGCUUUUUUAAAGUCGCAUGUUUCAUGUCAUUUUGAUGGUUGAAGAUUGUCCUCCAAUAGGAAUAGGGAUCAAAUCUGACACAGCUGAAUCCGUGCAUGUUUGAUGUCAUUUUGGUGUUUCAUAUUUACUUCAGAUGAUCCUCCUCUGAGUGCUCGUCGGCAAUUCUGUAA
Coffea eugenioides is the source of this 563-nucleotide long non-coding RNA. RefSeq lists it as uncharacterized. Lineage: Eukaryota; Viridiplantae; Streptophyta; Magnoliopsida; Gentianales; Rubiaceae. The transcript has 3 exons. The record is from RefSeq and is a predicted model, not a curated record.